Gasterosteus aculeatus aculeatus (three-spined stickleback) is the source of this 1053-nucleotide long non-coding RNA. The record is from Ensembl. Lineage: Eukaryota; Metazoa; Chordata; Actinopteri; Perciformes; Gasterosteidae.
GAACGAUGUUAUGAUGAUUGGUAAAACUGACUGAAGAGAAUACAGACAAUACUCAAUACGGAAGGUGCAUAUGAAUAGACGGAUCUGAAGGAGGAUUUGAUACAUAUGCAGGAGCUUGUAAUCUUGGGGCACAGAUGUGGAUUUUUAGCAGCCUGGAAAAAGAAGAAAGAAAAAAAACCGAGUUGAGGCAGAAUUCAUAAAAUCUCACCUAGGAUGCAAAUCCUCUCCAAUCACACCCCAUUCCAAAAGCUGGUACUUUUUUACGCCUCAGAUGAAGAAAAGCUCUUUUCAUGAACACACUUGACAUGAUGAGCCAAUUAGUGUCAAGUGGUUCUUCCUGGUGUUAUUACCAAAGGACGGCUCUGGAGAUGCAGGUGUGUGUGUGCGCCUAUGAAGACCAAUAAAGACAAAUCACUGCAGCUCAUCAUUAAACAUGAGCGUAGCUCCUCCGAUGGAAGAAGUUUUAUCUGUGCGCAUUAACAACGCAACCGCCGAUCCCGAAGAGGCCACUUCAGUGAAGGGCUUUUGAAGACAUCAUUCUCAAGUCAGCUGGCUCCCUUAUUGGAUGCACGGUGUUUCGUUUCCAUGUGAACAAUCAGUUUGACUGACGGCUGUGAGUGAUGUCUUCAGUUAAUCGCUCCAGUGGUGUGAAAAGGUCAUAAAUCACCCAAUUAUGUUGCCCCGCUUUAUGAAUAGAUAUUUUUGGGGGAAUAUUUAAAAUGCCUCCGAGGCAUAUCAACUUAGUCAACCCCAUAUUUAUUGAGAGGGAUUUUGGGGGCGGCUGCUUGUGCCAGAAAUAACUGAUAAGCUGAAUACAUUUUCAGAGUCUCAAUCACUGGAAUGUCACAGUGUUACUUGGUUUGAAAGUUGUGACUGCACUCAAGGUCGGGAUUUGUGAUUUAUGACCGUUUUUACAUGUUUUCAUGUACAGAGAGAAAAUAAAAAUAAUUAUCCAGGGAAGUCAGAAUAAAAUAGAAAUUGCUGGAAGAACACUUUUAAAAAAAUAAAAAGCCAUAAACACAUUGUUUUACAGCAGAUGUAUUUAUUUAAAAC